Molecule: ribosomal RNA, 406 nt
Filed under: uncultured bacterium
Lineage: Bacteria
Description: partial 16S ribosomal RNA
Rfam family: Bacterial small subunit ribosomal RNA
Source: RNAcentral
GAUGAACGCUAGCUACAGGCUUAACACAUGCAAGUCGAGGGCCCGGCGCACGGGUGAGUAACACGUAUCCAACCUGCCCUUUACUCGGGGAUAGCCUUUCCAAAGAAAGAUUAAUACCCGAUAUAAAGUAUGGGGAUGCGAUCCAUUAGGUUGUUGGUGAGGUAACGGCCCACCAAGCCUUCGAUGGAUAGGGGUUCUGAGAGGAAGGUCCCCGACAUUGGAACGGAGACACGGUCCAGACUCCUACGGGAGGCAGCAGUGAGGAAUAUUGGGCAAUGGGCGCUAGCCUGAACCAGCCAAGUAGCGGGAAGGAUGAAGGCUUAUGGGUCGUAAACUUCUUUUAUAUAAGAAUAUGUAUUAUAUGAAUAAGGAUCGGCUAACUCCGUGCCAGCAGCCGCGGUAAUUC